GAACUGCUAAUUCUUACCCCUGAAGUUAAAUUCUCCAGACCCCUCACUUUUAAAGGAUAACAGACAAUC
RNAcentral lists this transfer RNA (69 nucleotides) under Ctenosaura similis (black iguana). Its description in RNAcentral is "tRNA-Ser". The record is from RNAcentral. Lineage: Eukaryota; Metazoa; Chordata; Lepidosauria; Squamata; Iguanidae.